GGAGUUUGGUCCGUGUCUCAGUACCAAUGUGGGGGACCUUCCUCUCAGAACCCCUACUGAUCGUCGCCUUGGUGGGCCGUUACCCCGCCAACCGGCUAAUCAGACGCAUCCCCAUCCCUUACCGAUGAAUCUUUGCUCCUCGUUAGAUGCCCGCAAAGGAGAACAUAGGGCAUUAAUCCGACUUUCGCCGGGCUAUUCCCUAGUAAGGGGAAGGUUGGAUACGCGUUACUCACCCGUGCGCCGGUCGCCAUCAAAGUUUGCAAGCAAACUUCAUGCUGCCCCUCGACUUGCAUGUGUUAAGCCUGUAGCUAGCGUUCAUC
RNAcentral lists this ribosomal RNA (320 nucleotides) under uncultured Prevotella sp. RNAcentral's name for it is "partial 16S ribosomal RNA". The record is from RNAcentral. Lineage: Bacteria; Pseudomonadati; Bacteroidota; Bacteroidia; Bacteroidales; Prevotellaceae.